This 256-nucleotide ribosomal RNA is filed under the name uncultured bacterium. Its description in RNAcentral is "partial 16S ribosomal RNA". It matches the Rfam family "Bacterial small subunit ribosomal RNA", at positions 524 to 777 of the family's 1533-position model. The record is from RNAcentral.
UACGUAGGGUGCAAGCGUUAAUCGGAAUUACUGGGCGUAAAGCGCGUGUAGGCGGCUAAGUAAGUCGGGCGUGAAAUCCCACGGCUCAACCGUGGAAGUGCACUCGAAACUGCAUAGCUAGAGUCCUGGAGAGGAAGGUGGAAUGCUUGGUGUAGAGGUGAAAUUCGUAGAUAUCAAGCGGAACACCGGUGGCGAAGGCGGCCUUCUGGGACAGUGGACUGACGCUGAGACGCGAAAGCGUGGGGAGCAAACAGGG